GUACUGCUGAGGAGUCCCACAAUAGAACGUAACGGCCGUCCAAUGU
Molecule: non-coding RNA, 46 nt
Organism: Schistosoma rodhaini
Lineage: Eukaryota; Metazoa; Platyhelminthes; Trematoda; Strigeidida; Schistosomatidae
Source: Rfam